GACAUUUGAGUAGAGAUAUCUAACAGGUAGCUGGAGAUGAGAGACUAGCACUCAGGAGACACAGGUGCUCAGACAGGGAGAUCUGGGAGUUAUAUGCAUAGAAAUUGUUAAAAACCAUGAGAACAACUGAACUCACAAAGAGAGGGUCAUAGAAAGAAACACAGGGCCAGGACAGGCCCUGGAGUACCCUCACACACAGUGAACAGGAUGGAUGACAAAUUUGCCAAGGAGCAGGAGAAGAAUCAUCCUGACAAGGAGGAAGAAAAAUACUUCAUAGCAUAUUGAAAACCCAGAAAAGAGUAUCUUCUCAUAAGGAGGGAGCUGUCAUGGUGAAGAAAGUCCAAGGGGGAUGAGGACUGAGAAAAAGCCAGUGAAGAGAUCAGUCAAGUGGUGGGGGCUGAAGUCAGAAUUCAAAGGGCUGAGAAAUGAUAAUGGUAUGACCAACCAGCAGAAGAAAGAUGGGGUGGGAGACAUAGAGACACAUAUCUCUGAACAUACCCACAAUAGACUCUUCUGUACAACAUUCUGGAGAAUCAAGAGAACCACCAAAAAAGCUUCCCAGGUUGGGCCAAAGGAAGAUUAUACUUUGGAAUAAACUCCUUCUGAUUCUGACUCAAUGGAAAAAGGUGGGGUUUGACACAGUUUCCUUUAUGACAAAACACCCAGCAUCCCAGAUGUCUGUCACAGAGACUCAUGUACUAUCUUUGAUAGUACAACAGGGGUCCAUGAACUAGAUGGGCCCCCCUGCGGGGAAUACGUUUCUGUUGAGAAUGCCUCAAAAACAACAGUCCCUACCUGCCCUUAUGGCCAUGGUGGAAACAACAAAGUGAUCAUUGAGUCUACUUUAUGUAGGCUAGUGGCCCAUGUAGAAGGGUGAACUCCUGGGGUGAAAAAAACCAUUUCUUUUUGAGAUCAGGUUAGAGAGUGGGCAGUUCAGGAAGCCUGUAGAUAAAGUGAACUACAUGCCUCGGCCUCAGGAUUAGCCAGACAGCUGGGAAGGCAGAAAGGGCAGUAGCAAAGGGAUCCUGCCAGUUAAGAAAGGAACAGGCUUCAGCAGAGAAUUCUAGAGGGGCUGGGGGUUACCCAAUAACCUAUCCUGUGGCAGGGAAAGAGCUGGAUGAGGCAGCAAACCAAUGACCUGACCCACCUUUUCCAGGACCAGUCUGACAAGGGUUUUAGAUCCGUAGGGCAAAACUGUGAGUCAGGCAAGCAAUGUUACAUAUGCUUCAUGGAGAGAAGGACAACAGGUUGGUUCCCAUUCUGCCAAGGGUGCUGUAGGCCCCCUCCUUGUCCCCACCCUAAACAAUGCUGGAGAUAAGGACAGGAUUACAUGGUGAAAUCCAAGUAAACAACCCUAGUUGGGGUGGCUACAGCCAAGCCCCAGCUACUAUCUGCAUGGAGGGACCACCUCAUUCAGCUUGCAUCCCUCUUUCCUCCUCAUCAUGGAGGGCCAGAAGGACGGCCACUACCAGUGGAUGGGGAAAGAGGUAAGAGGCUAGAACACAAUAUGUAUCUGCUUUCACCAUAAGAAUCUCAGGAGAGAGGGAGAGAAGAAGGGGGGGAGGGUGAAGUAAAGGUGAGGGUGAGGGUGAGAG
This is a long non-coding RNA of Monodelphis domestica (gray short-tailed opossum), 1595 nucleotides long. Lineage: Eukaryota; Metazoa; Chordata; Mammalia; Didelphimorphia; Didelphidae. The record is from Ensembl.